GGGGCCGUAGUACAGUUGGGAGUACGCCUGCUUUGCAAGCAGGAGGUCAGGAGUUCAACUCUCCUCGGCUCCA
RNAcentral lists this transfer RNA (73 nucleotides) under Candidatus Omnitrophota bacterium. RNAcentral describes it as "tRNA-Ala". It matches the Rfam family "tRNA". From Rfam's summary of the family: Transfer RNA (tRNA) molecules are approximately 80 nucleotides in length. The record is from RNAcentral. Lineage: Bacteria; Pseudomonadati; Candidatus Omnitrophota.